This 301-nucleotide ribosomal RNA is filed under the name uncultured bacterium. RNAcentral's name for it is "partial 16S ribosomal RNA". It matches the Rfam family "Bacterial small subunit ribosomal RNA", at positions 509 to 807 of the family's 1533-position model. The record is from RNAcentral.
CAGUAGCCGCGGUAAUACGAAGGGGGCUAGCGUUGUUCGGAAUCACUGGGCGUAAAGCGCACGUAGGCGGACGCUUAAGUCAGGGGUGAAAUCCCGAGGCUCAACCUCGGAACUGCCUUUGAUACUGGGUGUCUUGAGUCCGGGAGAGGUGAGUGGAACUGCGAGUGUAGAGGUGAAAUUCGUAGAUAUUCGCAAGAACACCAGUGGCGAAGGCGGCUCACUGGCCCGGAACUGACGCUGAGGUGCGGAAGCGUGGGGAGCAAACAGGAUUAGAUACCCGCGUAGUCCCUGUCUCUUAUAC